This 253-nucleotide ribosomal RNA is filed under the name uncultured bacterium. RNAcentral describes it as "partial 16S ribosomal RNA". It matches the Rfam family "Bacterial small subunit ribosomal RNA", at positions 524 to 776 of the family's 1533-position model. The record is from RNAcentral.
UACGUAGGGUGCAAGCGUUAAUCGGAAUUACUGGGCGUAAAGCGUGCGCAGGCGGCUUUGCAAGACAGAUGUGAAAUCCCCGGGCUUAACCUGGGAACUGCAUUUGUGACUGCAGGGCUGGAGUGCGGCAGAGGGGGAUGGAAUUCCGCGUGUAGCAGUGAAAUGCGUAGAUAUGCGGAGGAACACCGAUGGCGAAGGCAGCCUCCUGGGCCAACACUGACGCUCAUGCACGAAAGCGUGGGGAGCAAACAGG